GGCUACUUGAGUAGCUCCGGGACUGCCGUAGUGCUGGCCCUGCGUUCCGCGCGGUCCAACGGGGACCUUGGCGUCCAAGGGGAGGAGCUAGCGCAGGCGCCCGGCGCAGCCUCGGGGAUCUCCGGGCUCCUAGACACCGCCCUGAACUUACGCGGUGGGAAGGAACCGUACGUCCUUCGUUGUGCACUGUGCACGGCUGGGUGAAGUUGAUCGCAGGCCCCUCUCACACUCUAGAGCCCCUCUAGGAUCACAUUGGCCAUGCCCCAAACAGACGUAGCUUUGUAUGUACUGGUGAAUCCAAGAAAUCCUUCAGACAUUUUGCUUCUAGCCUCAGAUGAAAAACGUGUAAAACAAGGGCAGAUGGCAUCUUGGACAUCACUGAGGAUGGAGCUGGACCACCGAUGAAGUUCUCAGAAGCCUGCCUUAUUCCUAUGCCUGGACUCUUAGGCUUUUGUUUGGCUCCACGGUUUCAAGUUGGGUGUUCUGAUACAGCCAAACACAACCCAGCUGAGCAAAGGCCUCCUGACUCUGUGAGGCACCUUUAUAUAACUCAUCAUUUAGUGAAAUCAGAAAGUCUAGCAUAAAGCGUCUCAGCGGAAUUAGCAGUCGUUGCUGUUAUGAAAUUGCGAGGCAGAGAUGACUAUUGAAAUUAAUGCGACACAAACGACCGGAGAGCCGUUUCAUUCGGCCCGGGGAAGAGGCAGUUUCUAGUUACUGCCAGAUGUUUGUCACUUUGGCCUGGAUGCCAGGGGGGUGAAACAGCCACUGAGGAAGGAAGUAUUUUCUGAGGAGAGACGGAUAUUUAGAUUUCUGGGCAGGCUCACAGCGUGAACAUAAACAAUAUUUUUAAAAAUACCGCCUUCUUUCUUCAUGCGGUGGACAGCUGCUGCUCUGGCCGGCCUGGAAGCCAUCUUGGUUUUUCUGGGGGGCAUGGAUGAGCGGGCAGCUAGCGCCCCACUUCUCUGUGUCCCUCUCCUCUGCUUGUGCCCUGUCAUCUCGUGGGAACCAGCCACACCUGAUCCCAUCCCAGACACUAACCCCCAGAGGUGGGACUGUGUCUUCAGGCCACUCCCACCCUCCCGAGAACUCAGAUCUCUAGGGGAAUGACGCAAGAGGGAAACGCUCCUUGGAGUCAUUCCUAAAGGGACCCUCCAUGGGUCACGUGAGGGACCCAGAGAUUGCCUUUCGGAAGCCUGGAUCUAGGGGCUCUCCAGUGGCUUCACUUAGGGCAGUGCUGUGUUUUGGCGAUUAUGGUUUAGAUGUGGCUGGCUGAAGGAGGUCAUCAUAUCUUAUGUCACCUCUGCACAGUUGAAAAAGUCUACAUCUCUCCAGGCUCCCGAUUGCUUCCAUCACUGCAGAGAAUGCGUUUGUCGGAGGACUGUGCUGACUCUCCGGGGGAGAUGUUAGUUGGCCUGGUGUCCAUAGUCAGUCCCCAAAGACAGGACACUGUGACCAAAGAUUGCCUGCCCAAGGUGACAAUACCUUCUUGGAGACAAUGAAGAGCUGUUAUGUGUCCCAGAUUCAUAGGAAUAACCUAUUCACUCCAUAUACGCUAAAGUACUUAUCCUCACAGCAAAGUAUGGUACAUUAUAUUUCAGCAAGUUAAUGAUAACCUAAUUAUCUGAUCCUAACUUCUCUGAAGUUGCGAUGUGUCUUGUAAACAGUGUUCUCUUAUAAUUGUUGUCAGCCAGGAAGUGUUUGUGAUAGCAUGGCUGCCCGAUGAUGUUGCACUAAAUCACAGCUGUUUGUGUAUACUCCUCCAUUGCUCCCAGUCCUGGAGGAACCCAAGGCCCUCACAUAUGUUAAAGCAAGUGCUGUACCACUGAGCUGCCUUCCAGCCCCUGCUCACAUUUCAGUUGAAUUCUCAACAGUGUUGAUACUGCAUUUACUAUUUUUUUUUUGUUGUUGUUGAUUAUGAUGUUUUCCUGGUUCGUGUCUGUUGACGUCUGCUGCUAAG
Non-coding RNA from Peromyscus maniculatus bairdii (prairie deer mouse), 1957 nucleotides. The record is from RefSeq and is a predicted model, not a curated record. Lineage: Eukaryota; Metazoa; Chordata; Mammalia; Rodentia; Cricetidae.